UCUCUCUGAAACUGCACACUCAAUGGAAGAGGACAACCUUCCCCAAUAGAGGAGAACUGUUCCUCAGUUGAGGAUAUAUGGAGUAGCUGUGCUUCCCUGGUAGAAUCUCCACACAAGCUCUCAGGGAAAGCUGAGGUAGAAGGACCACUUUAGC
This is an unclassified non-coding RNA of Ictidomys tridecemlineatus (thirteen-lined ground squirrel), 154 nucleotides long. Its record names the gene 7SK. It matches the Rfam family "7SK RNA". Rfam says of the family: 7SK was discovered as an abundant small nuclear RNA in the mid-70s but a possible function has only recently been suggested. The record is from Ensembl. NCBI's taxonomy places the organism in Eukaryota, Metazoa, Chordata, Mammalia, Rodentia, Sciuridae.